CCUACGGGUGGCAGCAGUCGAGAAUCAUUCACAAUGGGGGAAACCCUGAUGGUGCGACGCCGCGUGGGGGAAUGAAGGUCUUCGGAUUGUAAACCCCUGUCAUGUGGGAGCAAAUUAAAAAGAUAGUACCACAAGAGGAAGAGACGGCUAACUCUGUGCCAGCAGCCGCGGUAAUACAGAGGUCUCAAGCGUUGUUCGGAAUCACUGGGCGUAAAGCGUGCGUAGGCUGUUUCGUAAGUCGUGUGUGAAAGGCGCGGGCUCAACCCGCGGACGGCACAUGAUACUGCGAGACUAGAGUAUGGGAGAGGUAGGUGGAAUUCCUGGUGUAGCGGUGAAAUGCUUAGAUAUCAGGAGGAACAUCGGUGGCGGAAGCGCUUUACUGGGCCGUAAUUGACGCUGAGGAACGAAAGCCAGGGUAGCAAAUGGGAUUAGAUACCCUGGUAGUC
Molecule: ribosomal RNA, 446 nt
Filed under: uncultured bacterium
Lineage: Bacteria
Description: partial 16S ribosomal RNA
Rfam family: Bacterial small subunit ribosomal RNA
Source: RNAcentral